UCCAAAGUUAAUUACACACUUUCCCGAAAUUAGGGUUUCAUGUCAAGAAUUCAAAGAUAUAUUACGAGCUAAGCUAUCCCUAAAAAGGAAGGGGGUUUUGCUUAAAUAUAGUUUGGGAUUCAUCUAAGUCCUUUUAAAUAUCUACCCCUGGGCAUAUUCUCAUUUAACCACGAUCGUGCAUGGCUCCCCGUGACCAUGCGACGAUGGUUGUAUGUCGCAACCACGGAUAAAGAAUCACGUUUAUGGUAACCGAGGCUGAUGUAUUCCAGAUCUUCACCUGCAUACUUCUUUCUUCCCUUUUUAUCAAUUUUUAGCUCCCAUCCAUAUCUUUUUGUCUCCUCAACUUUAUGCCUGCAAUGAGUGGAUAUUAGUGC
Molecule: long non-coding RNA, 374 nt
Filed under: Capsicum annuum
Lineage: Eukaryota; Viridiplantae; Streptophyta; Magnoliopsida; Solanales; Solanaceae
Description: long non-coding RNA (CANN_LNC017165)
Source: RNAcentral